AACGCGAAGAACCUUACCUGGGCUCGAACGGCUUCUCAACGCCGGUGGAAACAUCGGUACCCCGCAAGGGGGUGGAGUCGAGGUGCUGCAUGGCUGUCGUCAGCUCGUGUCGUGAGAUGUUGGGUUAAGUCCCGCAACGAGCGCAACCCUUGUCCUGUGUUGCCAUGCCGAAAGGCGGAACUCGCAGGAGACCGCCAGCGAUAAGCUGGAGGAAGGUGGGGAUGACGUCAAGUCCUCAUGGCCUUUAUGUCCAGGGCUACACACGUGCUACAAUGGCCGGUACAGAGCGUUCCGAAGCCGCAAGGUGAAGGCAAUCGCAAAAAACCGGUCUCAGUUCGGAUUGCAGGCUGCAACUCGCCUGCAUGAAGCUGGAAUCGCUAGUAAUGGCAGAUCAGCACGCUGCCGUGAAUACGUUCCCGGGCCUUGUACACACCGCUCGCGA
This 442-nucleotide ribosomal RNA is filed under the name uncultured bacterium. Its description in RNAcentral is "bacterial SSU rRNA". It matches the Rfam family "Bacterial small subunit ribosomal RNA", at positions 958 to 1399 of the family's 1533-position model. The record is from RNAcentral.